UGCGCGGGGUAGCGGUGGGUGGCCGCAGAGACCAGUGAGAAGCGACUGUUUACUAAAAACACAGGUCCGUGCGAAGUCGUAAGACGAUGUAUACGGACUGACGCCUGCCCGGUGCUGGAACGUUAAGGGGACGGGUUAGCUGCUUCGGUGGCGAAGCUCAGAACUCAAGCGCCAGUAAACGGCGGUGGUAACUAUAACCAUCCUAAGGUAGCGAAAUUCCUUGUCGGGUAAGUUCCGACCUGCACGAAUGGCGUAACGACUUCUCAGCUGUCUCAACCACAGGCUCGGCGAAAUUGCACUACGAGUAAAGAUGCUCGUUACGCGCGGCAGGACGGAAAGACCCCGGGACCUUUACUAUAGCUUGAUAUUGGUGUUCGGUUCGGCUUGUGUAGGAUAGGUGGGAGACUGUGAAGCGGGCACGCCAGUGUUCGUGGAGUCGCCGUUGAAAUACCACUCUGGUCGAAUUGGAUGUCUAACUUCGGUCCGUGAUCCGGAUCAGGGACAGUGUCAGGUGGGUAGUUUAACUGGGGCGGUUGCCUCCCAAAAUGUAACGGAGGCGCCCAAAGGUUCCCUCAGCCUGGUUGGCAAUCAGGUGUCGAGUGCAAGUGCACAAGGGAGCUUGACUGUGAGACCGACGGGUCGAGCAGGAGCGAAAGCUGGGACUAGUGACCCGGCACCGGCAUGUGGAAGCGGUGUCGCUCAACGGAUAAAAGGUACCCCGGGGAUAACAGGCUGAUCUUCCCCAAGAGUCCAUAUCGACGGGAUGGUUUGGCACCUCGAUGUCGGCUCGUCGCAUCCUGGGGCUGGAGUAGGUCCCAAGGGUUGGGCUGUUCGCCCAUUAAAGCGGUACGCGAGCUGGGUUUAGAACGUCGUGAGACAGUUCGGUCCCUAUCCGCCGUGCGCGUAAGAGACUUGAGAAGAGCUGUCCCUAGUACGAGAGGACCGGGACGGACGAACCUCUGGUGUGCCAGUUGUACCGCCAGGUGCACUGCUGGUUGGCUACGUUCGGCAGGGAUAACCGCUGAAAGCAUCUAAGCGGGAAGCUCGCUUCAAGAUGAGGUCUCUCACCGGGUGAACCGGGUAAGGCCCCCGCCCAGACCAGCGGGUUGAUAGGCCGGAAGUGGAAGCAUCGUGAGGUGUGGAGCUGACCGGUACUAAUAGGCCGAGGGCUUGACCACACACCA
This 1184-nucleotide ribosomal RNA is filed under the name Blastococcus sp. TF02-09. Its description in RNAcentral is "bacterial LSU rRNA". It matches the Rfam family "Bacterial large subunit ribosomal RNA", at positions 1757 to 2925 of the family's 2925-position model. The record is from RNAcentral. Lineage: Bacteria; Bacillati; Actinomycetota; Actinomycetes; Geodermatophilales; Geodermatophilaceae.